This 354-nucleotide unclassified non-coding RNA is filed under the name soil metagenome. Its description in RNAcentral is "partial contains 5.8S ribosomal RNA, internal transcribed spacer 2, and large subunit ribosomal RNA". The stretch from base 1 to 120 matches the Rfam family "5.8S ribosomal RNA", at positions 35 to 154 of the family's 154-position model. The record is from RNAcentral.
GAUGUAGAACGUAGCGAAACGCGAUAUGUAAUGUGAAUUGCAGAAUUCAGUGAAUCAUCGAAUCUUUGAACGCACAUGGCGCCUUCCAGUAUCCUGGGAGGCAUGCCUGUCCGAGCGUCGUUUCAACCCUCGAGCCCCCGUGGCCCGGCGUUGGGGAUCUGCCCAGGCAGUCCCCGAAAACCAGUGGCGGACCCGUUACAGGCCCUUCCCUUGCGUAGUAGCAUUCGCCUCGCAUCGGGAGCCGGCGGGCUUCCAGCCUCUAAACCCCCAUCAAGUCCGCCCCGGCGGCACCAAGGUUGACCUCGGAUCAGGUAGGAAUACCCGCUGAACUUAAGCAUAUCAAUAAGCGGAGGA